RNAcentral lists this unclassified non-coding RNA (240 nucleotides) under soil metagenome. RNAcentral's name for it is "partial contains 5.8S ribosomal RNA, internal transcribed spacer 2, and large subunit ribosomal RNA". The record is from RNAcentral.
AACCAUAGAAACCUGCGGAGUACCUGCGGAGGGAUCAUUACAGAGUUGCAAAACUCCCACAAACCAUCGCGAAUCUUACCCGUACGGUUGCCUCGGCGCUGGCGGUCCGGAAGGCCCUCGGGCCCCCGGACCCUCGGGUCCCCCGCUCGCGGGGGGCUGCCCGCCGGAGUGCCGAAACCAAACUCUUGAUAUUUUAUGUCUCUCUGAGUAAACUUCUAAAUAAGUCAAAACUUUUAACAA